Molecule: long non-coding RNA, 3201 nt
Organism: Felis catus (domestic cat)
Lineage: Eukaryota; Metazoa; Chordata; Mammalia; Carnivora; Felidae
Exons: 5
Source: RefSeq, a predicted model, not a curated record
AGAAGGUUAAAAGGGCCUUAGAUUUUAACGAAACCACAUCCAUUUUUACCGAUGUGUCCCGGGGCCCGUGCCUCGCUCAGUGUCACAUGGUUCAAGAAACAGGGCAGAGUUCAAGUACGGCUCUGUCAGUGAAGUCACUGCCCAUUAUUUAACGAUUUCCACGUCCUUGGGCAUUCGAGGUGGCCAUUUAACCAGUCAAGCAACACGUACGCACUCUCUCUCCAAACGCUUAAAUGCCUUGAGAUAGUUUCUUUUCUUGUUAUUACUGUGAGAUUCCUUCUUUUAACGUGAAUCUACAGUUGAAGCAGCAUUUUGUUUUCCCCACCUCAAAGACUGGACUGGAAAACCAGCAGCAGCCGAGAGGCUGCGCCCCCGGCCCCCAUCGGGAAGCUCCCGCGCCUGCACCCGCACCGCACCCCGAAACUGCGCCAAACAACCCAGCAUGGCCAGGCCGACAGCGCUGAGAUCAAAAAGCACUGAGAACUGGCCACCCAACCCAGAGCGGGCACCGGGGACGACUAACUUGCCGUUGCUGUUACUAACCAAAGGUAACCAGAAUAGAGGAAAGCAGGAUACUGCUGCAAGACCGGGAAAACCCCACGCUCACUCUUCCCGGCGUCGGAAAGAGCCUUCCUGACUUCCGGCGGAGGUUCGCUGUCCUCGCACGGUUUUAUGGGAAAUGUAGUUUGAGGAUCACAAACUGUGCGUGAUCCGUGAAGGGGAGGGGCUUGGGGGUGAACGCGUUCGGGAGCCUGGGCGGGGAGGUCACUGCUGUUAAGGUCCAGCUUCUUGGUGGUGAGUCAGGGGCUGGUUUUCCUUUUCGUCAUGCCGAGACAUGUGAAGUGUGGUGCGGACGAUGGAAAACCGUAGGUUCCACAGCAGAUUGGUGAGAGGUCCACAGCUUCGUUGCCUCUCCCAUAGCCAUGGUCCACUCUCUGGAAUUUGAAAAGGAGGCUUGAGGCAGGAUUUCAGCAAGACCUCCCAGUUUUGUGUGUUUGGAGCUGAGAGAAGUUUGCUGAAGUAUGUCGGCUACAAACUUUCCUGUGGUUAUUUCAAUGUUUAGCUACUGUGUAUGUCUUCCUUACUCAAAGUGUGACUCAGUAUGAACCAUGGAUGCUGGUGAAAAAUGCAGAAUUCCAGACUCAUCUCUGACCUACUGAAUCAGAAUCUACAAUUUAAUGAGAUCCUCAGCUGGCCAUACAUGAAAAGCACGAGCUCUCAGAAGCAGUAACUCUGGGAGUGGCACCAUUGGCAGCAUCUGGCUCAUCACUGACCUGGAGACUCUGGCUCUGUAUAGCAGCCCAUCUACACAAACACACCUAUGAUUGACCCACAAAAUGAACUCACUCCAUGAGUGAGACUGAAUGACUUGAAUGGGCCCGGGGUAGUAACGUGUGCACAGAAAUCUCUAACGUAUUUUUCUUUUUUGAAGCUGUGAACACCACUUGUCAUAAUAAAGAAUUUUCUUUUCAUUUGCAAGAUUUCUCUCUGCCUCUGACUUCUCCAUGUUUCCUCUCUGCUACAUUAGCCCUGAAUGAGCUGUAAAUGGGAUAAUGUGGAGCAUGGGAAGGAUAAGAUGUUCAAGGCGAGCAAGGCAGGGAGGGGAUGAUUCUUUUCACAGCUGAUCUUCUAAUGACUUGUUCAGUCUUCCAGGUGGCUGGCCCCGUCAUCAGUACUAGCACUUUAGACAGUGUACCCUUCCAGCUACUAGUAUCUUUGUCAUACCUACAGUUGCAUCCAAUGCCAGUCUGACAGGGCAGUGUUGCCGGAAUUUUUCUAAUCUCAGGUACAAAAGCAAAGCAAAACAGUUAUAUGAUAAAUGGAUCAGAGCCAUCUCCUAUCUCUCCUUGGAAGGGAGUACUUAUUUUUCUUUAUUCCUCGGACAAAUAAGGGUGAAAUAAGGCAGGCUUGUCGUGGGGAACGAGAUGAAUCAAAGAAUUUCCUUACGUUUCGAUCAAUACCAAAUGCUUUGACAUAUGUUUUCCACUGGGAGGGUGGAACUGGGGUUGUCAUAGAGUAAUUAGAGGCUGGUGUACUGAGCAUUGUUUAUGCCCUUCAACCAAAUACCACAAGUAGUAAGCCUUUUUGUGUGUCUGUCUGGCAGGGUUUUUCCUUCCUGGGGGUGAUGGAGAAAUGUCUACAGAUGUUUUCUACAGAUGUCUCCCAGUGGGGGCUCCCUUUUACUGAUGGCUUUCUUGUCACCUGCUUCCUUUCUUCCUUCUCAAAUCUUUCCAUUUCCUUCCAGUGAGCUUUUUGCUGCUGUCCUGUCUCUCAUGCCUGCCUCCUGGAUCCCUUGCGUCUGACUUAGCUUUGCCCCCUCUUCUUCCUUGCACCUGCAAUGUGGCAAGAAGACUGACUGUUCUUUUCCAGAUCUCUUGUCAAAACUCCUUUUUGGAAAAUGUUUUCAGUAGAGUAUCACAGUCAGUGCAUUUCUGAAAAUUAAUAGUUGGGUAUUCAAAAGGAGAAAAAAUAUAUACACGCAUAUGUAAAAUAAAAAUAGUGUCUUUAAACUAUGCACUAAUUGUGAACCAUAUACUGCACUCAGUGUGUUCACUUAAUAAAUAUUUGCUGACUUAAAGGGCCUGCAAAUCUAGAUUUGGAAAGAAAUUUUCCUGACCUACAAUAAAACAGUAUAUGAAAAAGUAAAUAAAUAUGUUACUAAAAAUCAAAAGUUGGUCCAUCAGGGUUGAAGCUGUAUUUUGUCCUACAAAUAUGAUUACCACUAGACACAUUACUAUUAUACUAGGAAGAAUAGGAAAGUCCAAUUAAAAAAAAAAGAACAGCUGGUGGGUCAGAUAAGUUAUCUUGUCAAUAGUUAGAUUUUUUAAAGUAUUUUGCAAAAAAAUAAUAUAUAGUAUAUAGUAUUUUAAAUUUGUUUAGAUCCCCUGGAAAACUAUUUUUCUUUUACUUCUUUGUAUUUUUAUUUCUCCUGUAGGUUUUUCUGCAAAAGGUACUGUUUUGCCAUUCAUUAUCCUCAUAUUAUUGCUAACUUCUAUUCCCUAAUAUUUCUAUAAUUCCAGUCAAAUUGUACAGGCCCAGAGUUUAAACAAAUGUUUUUAAAACGGUAAUUUAUAUUACUUUUUGUGGUCAAAUGUGAAUACAUAACAAAGAUUUAUCAUUUAUUGUUUUUAUUCUUUUAAAAAAAAUUUAUGUUUAUUUAGUUUUUGAGAGAGAGAGAGCAUGAGUGGCGGAGGGGCACAG